AAUUGGACAAAUUGGAUUAUUUUUUUGAUGUGAUUUUUUGUUAUUUUUGUUAUUUUUUUAUAAAGGCAAUAUUGAGGGAAUGAGGAAUUGAACCUAGAACCUUGAGUGCAUGGAUAAUUAUUUUUAAUCACUUAAAUUACAAACUCCAAACUUAUGUUAAUUAUAUAUAUAUAAUAUUGAAAAUCGGUUAAAAAAACCAAACUGAAGUUCGACUUGGGCAGGUUGAAAGGUCCAUCUCAACCCCAAAAUUCACAGGGUUGAAAAUCGGAAUUCACAGGGUUGGAUCAAG
This 289-nucleotide long non-coding RNA is filed under the name Prunus persica (peach). Its description in RNAcentral is "long non-coding RNA (PPER_LNC001383)". The record is from RNAcentral. Lineage: Eukaryota; Viridiplantae; Streptophyta; Magnoliopsida; Rosales; Rosaceae.